GCGGUGAAAUGCGUAGAUAUUAGGAGGAACACCAGUUGCGAAGGCGGCUCUCUGGACUGUAACUGACGCUGAGGCACGAAAGCGUGGGGAGCAAACAGGAUUAGAUACCCUGGUAGUCCACGCUGUAAACGAUGAGUACUAGGUGUCGGGGGUUACCCCCUUCGGUGCCGCAGCUAACGCAUUAAGUACUCCGCCUGGGAAGUACGCUCGCAA
This 213-nucleotide ribosomal RNA is filed under the name Clostridioides difficile. Its description in RNAcentral is "partial 16S ribosomal RNA". It matches the Rfam family "Bacterial small subunit ribosomal RNA", at positions 678 to 891 of the family's 1533-position model. The record is from RNAcentral. Lineage: Bacteria; Bacillati; Bacillota; Clostridia; Peptostreptococcales; Peptostreptococcaceae.